This 301-nucleotide ribosomal RNA is filed under the name uncultured bacterium. RNAcentral describes it as "partial 16S ribosomal RNA". It matches the Rfam family "Bacterial small subunit ribosomal RNA", at positions 509 to 807 of the family's 1533-position model. The record is from RNAcentral.
CAGUAGCCGCGGGAAUACAGAGGAUGCAAGCGUUAUCCGGAAUGAUUGGGCGUAAAGCGUCUGUAGGUGGCUUUUCAAGUCCGCCGUCAAAUCCCAGGGCCCAACCCUGGACAGGCGGUGGAAACUACCAAGCUGGAGUACGGUAGGGGCAGAGGGAAUUUCCGGUGGAGCGGUGAAAUGCGCUGAGAUCGGAAAGAACACCAACGGCGAAGGCACUCUGCUGGGCCGACACUGACACUGAGAGACUAAAGCUAGGGGAGCAAAUGGGAUUAGAUACCCGCGUAGUCCCUGUCUCUUAUAC